AGCGAACGCUGGCGGCAGGCUUAACACAUGCAAGUCGAGCGCUCGUAGCAAUACGAGAGCGGCAGACGGGAGAGUAACACGUGGGAACGUACCCUUCGGUUCGGAAUAACCCAGGGAAACUUGGGCUAAUACCGGAUACGUCCGUAAGGAGAAAGAUUUAUCGCCGAGGGAUCGGCCCGCGUCCGAUUAGCUAGUUGGUGAGGUAAUGGCUCACCAAGGCGACGAUCGGUAGCUGGUCUGAGAGGAUGAUCAGCCUCACUGGGACUGAGACACGGCCCAGACUCCUACGGGAGGCAGCAGUGGGGAAUAUUGGACAAUGGGCGCAAGCCUGAUCCAGCCAUGCCGCGUGGGUGAUGAAGGCCCUAGGGUUGUAAAGCCCUUUCGGCGGGGAAGAUAAUGACGGUACCCGCAGAAGAAGCCCCGGCUAACUUCGUGCCAGCCGCCGCGGUAA
Molecule: ribosomal RNA, 451 nt
Filed under: uncultured bacterium
Lineage: Bacteria
Description: partial 16S ribosomal RNA
Rfam family: Bacterial small subunit ribosomal RNA
Source: RNAcentral